RNAcentral lists this transfer RNA (85 nucleotides) under Collariella sp. IMI 366227. RNAcentral's name for it is "tRNA-Gln". It matches the Rfam family "tRNA". From Rfam's summary of the family: Transfer RNA (tRNA) molecules are approximately 80 nucleotides in length. Lineage: Eukaryota; Fungi; Ascomycota; Sordariomycetes; Sordariales; Chaetomiaceae. The record is from RNAcentral.
GGUUGUAUAGUGUAGCGGUCAUCACACCAGAUUCUGAUUCCCUUAGAAUAUUCUGGUAACCCCGGUUCGAUUCCGGGUACGACCU